AGUGAACGCUGGCGGUAGGCCUAACACAUGCCAGUCGAACGGCAGCACAGUAAGAGCUUGCUCUUACGGGUGGCGAGUGGCGGACGGGUGAGGAAUACAUCGGAAUCUACUUUUUCGUGGGGGAUAACGUAGGGAAACUUACGCUAAUACCGCAUACGACCUACGGGUGAAAGCAGGGGAUCUUCGGACCUUGCGCGAUUGAAUGAGCCGAUGUCGGAUUAGCUAGUUGGCGGGGUAAAGGCCCACCAAGGCGACGAUCCGUAGCUGGUCUGAGAGGAUGAUCAGCCACACUGGAAGUGAGACACGGUCCAGACUCCUACGGGAGGCAGCAGUGGGGAAUAUUAGACAAUGGGCGCAAGCCUGAUCCAGCCAUACCGCGUGGGUGAAGAAGGCCUUCGGGUUGUAAAGCCCUUUUGUUGGGAAAGAAAAUCAGCAGGUUAAUACCCCGCUGUUCUGACGGUACCCAAAGAAUAAGCACCGGCUAACUUCGUG
RNAcentral lists this ribosomal RNA (492 nucleotides) under uncultured bacterium. RNAcentral's name for it is "partial 16S ribosomal RNA". It matches the Rfam family "Bacterial small subunit ribosomal RNA", at positions 29 to 507 of the family's 1533-position model. The record is from RNAcentral.